This 459-nucleotide ribosomal RNA is filed under the name uncultured bacterium. RNAcentral describes it as "partial 16S ribosomal RNA". It matches the Rfam family "Bacterial small subunit ribosomal RNA", at positions 338 to 795 of the family's 1533-position model. The record is from RNAcentral.
CCUACGGGUGGCAGCAGUGGGGAAUAUUGGGCAAUGGGCGCAAGCCUGACCCAGCAAAGCCGCGUGAAGGAUGAAUGCCCUACGGGUCGUAAACUGCUUUUGCACGGGGAUAAAACCCUCCACUUGUGGAGGUCUGCAGGUACCUUGCGAAUAAGGGCCGGCUAACUCCGUGCCAGCAGCCGCGGUAAUACGGAAGGCCCGAGCGUUAUCCGGAUUCAUUGGGCUUAAGGGGAGCGUAGGCGGGCGUUAAAGUCAGCUGUAAAAUCGUGCGGCUCAACCGCGACGCGCAGUUGAAACUGGACGCCUUGAGUUCACAACAGGCAGGCGGAAUUCGUGGUGUAGCGGUGAAAUGCAUAGAUAUCACGAAGAACCCCGAUUGCGAAGGCAGCCUGCCGGGGUGUGACUGACGCUGAGGCUCGAAGGUGCGGGUAUCAAACAGGAUUAGAUACCCGAGUAGUC